Molecule: ribosomal RNA, 819 nt
Filed under: uncultured eukaryote
Lineage: Eukaryota
Description: SSU rRNA
Rfam family: Eukaryotic small subunit ribosomal RNA
Source: RNAcentral
CGGUGUUUAACUGGCGUGAUGUGGGACGUCCUACCGGUGGGCUUAGCCUCGCGAGGGGCGGCCCAACUAAUAUCCCGUCGCGGUGCUCUUUACUGAGUGUCGAGUCGGGCCGGUACGUUUACUUUGAACAAAUUAGAGUGCUUAAAGCAGGCUAUCCUCGCCUGAAUACUGCGUGCAUGGAAUAAUGGAAUAGGACCUCGGUUCUAUUUUGUUGGUUUUCGGAACCCCGAGGUAAUGAUUAAUAGGGACAGAUGGGGGCAUUCGUAUUGCGACGUUAGAGGUGAAAUUCUUGGACCGUCGCAAGACGGACAGAAGCGAAAGCAUUUGCCAAAAAUGUUUUCAUUAAUCAAGAACGAAAGUUAGAGGUUCGAAGGCGAUCAGAUACCGCCCUAGUUCUAACCAUAAACGAUGCCAGCUAGCGAUCCGCCGAAGUUCCUCCGAUGACUCGGCGGGCAGCUUCCGGGAAACCAAAGCUUUUGGGUUCCGGGGGAAGUAUGGUUGCAAAGCUGAAACUUAAAGGAAUUGACGGAAGGGCACCACCAGGAGUGGAGCCUGCGGCUUAAUUUGACUCAACACGGGAAACCUCACCAGGCCCAGACACCGGAAGGAUUGACAGAUUGAUAGCUCUUUCUUGAUUCGGUGGGUGGUGGUGCAUGGCCGUUCUUAGUUGGUGGAGCGAUUUGUCUGGUUAAUUCCGAUAACGAACGAGACUCUAGCCUGCUAAAUAGGCGUACCUUAUGGUAUCGCGAAGGCCCCCGGCUUCGGCCGGUGGGUUUUUACUACCAACGUACAAACAAAUCUUCUUAGAGGGACAGGCGG